GGAGGGAUAGUUGGAGGAGAACCAGACUCUCCAUAAGCCAGCUCUGGAGGAAUGGUGAAAAUGGCAUUUUCACCCUUUUUCAUUGUCUUAAUACCUUGAUCCCAUCCCUUAAUCACUUGUCCUUGACCGAGAGUGAACUUGAAAGGAGUACCCCUAUCGCGACUGGAAUCGAACUUGGACCCAUCAAGCAGAGUGCCAGUAUAAUGAACUUCUACUUCAUCUCCAGCUUCAGGAGUGUCCCAUCCUUCACCUUCUUUAACAAGCUUCUUCUUCAAACCUUCUUUUCCGAUCACCUUCUCAUCGCCAACUUUCAUGAUCGGACUUUCGUCCGGCAGAUCCAUGUCAUCAUCCAUUCCUUCUGCUCCGGGAAUAUCAAAAUCGUCAUCCAUUGGAG
RNAcentral lists this unclassified non-coding RNA (394 nucleotides) under Hevea brasiliensis (rubber tree). The record is from RNAcentral. Lineage: Eukaryota; Viridiplantae; Streptophyta; Magnoliopsida; Malpighiales; Euphorbiaceae.